GGAAGCAGGGGAUCGUAAGGCCUUGCACUUUUGGAGCGGCCGAUGUCUGAUUAGCUAGUUGGUGGGGUAAGGGCCUACCAAGGCGACGAUCAGUAGUUGGUCUGAGAGGACGACCAGCCACACUGGGACUGAGACACGGCCCAGACUCCUACGGGAGGCAGCAGUGGGGAAUUUUGGACAAUGGGCGCAAGCCUGAUCCAGCAAUGCCGCGUGAGUGAAGAAGGCCUUCGGGUUGUAAAGCUCUUUCAGUCGAGAAGAAAGGGCUACGGUAAAUAAUCGUAGUUCAUGACGGUACCGACAGAAGAAGCACCGGCUAACUACGUGCCAGCAGCCGCGGUAAUACGUAGGGUGCGAGCGUUAAUCGGAAUUACUGGGCGUAAAGGGUGCGCAGGCGGCUUUGUAAGUCAGAUGUGAAAUCCCCGGGCUUAACCUGGGAAUUGCGUUUGAAACUACAAAGCUAGA
RNAcentral lists this ribosomal RNA (462 nucleotides) under uncultured beta proteobacterium. RNAcentral describes it as "bacterial SSU rRNA". It matches the Rfam family "Bacterial small subunit ribosomal RNA", at positions 187 to 645 of the family's 1533-position model. The record is from RNAcentral. Lineage: Bacteria; Pseudomonadati; Pseudomonadota; Betaproteobacteria.